RNAcentral lists this ribosomal RNA (774 nucleotides) under uncultured bacterium. Its description in RNAcentral is "bacterial SSU rRNA". It matches the Rfam family "Bacterial small subunit ribosomal RNA", at positions 56 to 832 of the family's 1533-position model. The record is from RNAcentral.
UGCAAGUCGCGCGACAAGCUGUUCUGCUUGCAGAACGGUGGAGGAGCGGCGUAAGGGAGAGUGACGCGUGGAUUACCAACCCCCAGGACCGGGAUAGCGGCGGGAAACUGCCGGUAAUACCGGAUAAUGUCUCCGGACCAAAUGGUGUGAUUCCUCCUGGGGACGGGUCCGCGUCCUAUUAGCUUGUUGGUGGGGUAACGGCCUACCAAGGCUACGAUGGGUACCGGGCGUGAGAGCGUGGCCCGGCUCACUGGGACUGAGACACUGCCCAGACACCUACGGGUGGCUGCAGUCGAGAAUAUUCGGCAAUGGACGCAAGUCUGACCGAGCGACGCCGCGUGCGGGAUAAAGGUCUUCGGAUUGUAAACCGCUGUCAGAGGGGAUGAAAUGCCAUGGGGUCAUCCCCAUGGUUUGACAUAUCCUCAGAGGAAGGGCGGGCUAAGUUCGUGCCAGCAGCCGCGGUAAGACGAACCGCCCAAACGUUAUUCGGAAUCACUGGGCUUAAAGGGUAUGUAGGCGGCAUGGUCAGUUGGGUGUGAAAUCCCUCGGCUUAACCGAGGAACUGCGCCCAAUACUGCCAAGCUUGAGGGAGAUAGGGGUAAGCGGAACUGAUGGUGGAGCGGUGAAAUGCGUUGAGAUCAUCAGGAACACCGGUGGCGAAAGCGGCUUACUGGGUCUCUUCUGACGCUGAGGUACGAAAGCUAGGGUAGCGAACGGGAUUAGAUACCCCGGUAGUCCUAGCUGUAAACGAUGAGCACUUGGUCGAAGACUCCU